CAUAACAGUGCGCACUGCGCGAAAGAUAAACACAAAGUGACAGGAGGACAGGGAAAGUACACUAACAGAGACGAAUCAAGACAAAUAUAAACGCGAAAAUGGGGCUUCGAUCGGAUAGGGGGCCCCCCAUACAUACCGUUCCCUUGGGCCCCUAAUUUUCUAAAUCUGCCACUCGAUAGGCGUAUGUUUUGAAGAUCAUCAGUCCGACUCUAUUCGCAUGUACUUCGCAUGACCCCAAUGCAGCGAGCGCCAGAAGAAGGGUUUCUGGUAGCUACGAGGAACGACGCCUGGAACGUUCUCCUCCAGGUACUGGA
This is a non-coding RNA of Misgurnus anguillicaudatus (oriental weatherfish), 314 nucleotides long. Lineage: Eukaryota; Metazoa; Chordata; Actinopteri; Cypriniformes; Cobitidae. The record is from RefSeq and is a predicted model, not a curated record.